RNAcentral lists this ribosomal RNA (497 nucleotides) under uncultured bacterium. RNAcentral's name for it is "partial 16S ribosomal RNA". It matches the Rfam family "Bacterial small subunit ribosomal RNA", at positions 28 to 507 of the family's 1533-position model. The record is from RNAcentral.
GAUGAACGCUGGCGGCGUGCCUAAUACAUGCAAGUCGAGCGAACGGACGAGAAGCUUGCUUUUCUGAUGUUAGCGGCGGACGGGUGAGUAACACGUGGAUAACCUACCUAUAAGACUGGGAUAACUUCGGGAAACCGGAGCUAAUACCGGAUAAUAUUUUGAACCGCAUGGUUCAAAAGUGAAAGACGGUCUUGCUGUCACUUAUAGAUGGAUCCGCGCUGCAUUAGCUAGUUGGUAAGGUAACGGCUUACCAAGGCAACGAUGCAUAGCCGACCUGGGAGGGGGGUCGGCCACACUGGAACUGGGACACGGUCCAGGCUCCUACGGGAGGGAGCAGUAGGGAAUCUUCCGCAAUGGGCGGAAGCCUGACGGAGGAACGGCGGGUGAGUGAUGAAGGUCUUCGGAUCGUAAAACUCUGUUAUUAGGGAAAAACAAAUGUGUAAGUAACUGAGCACAGCUUGACGGUACCUAAUCAAAAAGCCACGGCUAACUACGUG